This 450-nucleotide ribosomal RNA is filed under the name uncultured Acidobacteriaceae bacterium. Its description in RNAcentral is "bacterial SSU rRNA". It matches the Rfam family "Bacterial small subunit ribosomal RNA", at positions 8 to 488 of the family's 1533-position model. Lineage: Bacteria; Pseudomonadati; Acidobacteriota; Terriglobia; Terriglobales; Acidobacteriaceae. The record is from RNAcentral.
AGAGUUUGAUCAUGGCUCAGAAUCAACGCUGGCGGCGCGCCUAACACAUGCAAGUCGAACGAGAAAGCAGGAGCAAUCUUGUGAGUAAAGUGGCGUACGGGUGAGUAACACGUGGAUUAUCUACCCUCUUGUGGGGGAUAACCCUGGGAAACCGGGGCUAAUACCGCAUAAGCUCGAGAGAGGAAAGCAGCAAUGCGCAGGAGGAGGAGUCCGCGGCCGAUUAGCUAGUUGGUAGGGUAAAAGCCUACCAAGGCAACGAUCGGUAGCCGGCCUGAGAGGGCACACGGCCACACUGGCACUGAAACACGGGCCAGACUCCUACGGGAGGCAGCAGUGGGGAAUCUUGCACAAUGGGGGCAACCCUGAUGCAGCGACGCCGCGUGAGCGAUGAAGCCCUUCGGGGUGUAAAGCUCUUUCGGCAGGGAAGAUUAUGACGGUACCUGCAGAAGC